This 26-nucleotide non-coding RNA is filed under the name Rattus norvegicus (Norway rat). Lineage: Eukaryota; Metazoa; Chordata; Mammalia; Rodentia; Muridae. The record is from RNAcentral.
UGUUGUUCUAUCAACUGAGCUGUGUU